Molecule: ribosomal RNA, 695 nt
Filed under: uncultured fungus
Lineage: Eukaryota; Fungi
Description: SSU rRNA
Rfam family: Eukaryotic small subunit ribosomal RNA
Source: RNAcentral
GGGCACGACACCGGAGAGGGAGCCUGAAGAAACGGCUACCACAUCCAAGGAAGGCAGCAGGCGCGCAAAUUACCCAAUCCCAACACGGGGAGGUAGUGACAAUAAAUAACAAUACAGGGUUCUUAUGGAUCUUGUAAUUGGAAUGAGUACAAUUUAAAUCUCUUAACGAGGAACAAUUGGAGGGCAAGUCUGGUGCCAGCAGCCGCGGUAAUUCCAGCUCCAAUAGCGUAUAUUAAAGUUGUUGCAGUUAAAAAGCUCGUAGUUGAAUUUCGGGAUCAAUACGUCGGUCGUGCCUCCGGUAUGUACUGGUGUUAUUGAUUUCUCCCUUCUGAUGAACCAUGAUGUCAUUAAUUUGAUGUUGUGGGGAGUCAGGACUGUUACUUUGAAAAAAUUAGAGUGUUUAAAGCAGGCUCACGCUUGAAUACAUUAGCAUGGAAUAAUGAAAUAGGACGUUCGAUCCUAUUUUGUUGGUUUCUAGGAUCAACGUAAUGAUUAAUAGGGAUAGUUGGGGGCAUUAGUAUUCAAUUGUCAGAGGUGAAAUUCUUGGAUUUAUUGAAGACUAACUACUGCGAAAGCAUUUGCCAAGGAUGUUUUCAUUAACCAAGAACGGAAGUUAGGGGAUCGAAGACGAUCAGAUACCGUCGUAGUCUUAACCAUAAACCUAUGCCGACUAGGGAUCGGAUGAUGUUAAUUUU